RNAcentral lists this ribosomal RNA (472 nucleotides) under uncultured bacterium. Its description in RNAcentral is "bacterial SSU rRNA". It matches the Rfam family "Bacterial small subunit ribosomal RNA", at positions 355 to 825 of the family's 1533-position model. The record is from RNAcentral.
UGGGGAAUAUUGGACAAUGGGCGCAAGCCUGAUCCAGCGACGCCGCGUGUGUGAAGAAGGCCUGCGGGUUGUAAAGCACUUUCGAUGGGAACGAAAUGUGCCGGGUUAAUACCCCGGUAAGCUGACGUUACUCAAUGAAGAAGCACCGGCUAACUCUGUGCCAGCAGCCGCGGUAAUACAGAGGGUGCGAGCGUUAAUCGGAAUUACUGGGCGUAAAGCGCACGUAGGUGGCGACGUAAGUCGGGUGUGAAAGCCCCGGGCUUAACCUGGGAAUUGCGCUUGUAACUGGCGGGCUAGAGUGCAGAAGGGGCAAUCGGAAUUCUUGGUGUAGCGGUGAAAUGCGUAGAUAUCAAGAGGAACACCUGAGGUGAAGACGGGUUGCUGGGCUGACACUGACGCUGAGGCGCGAAAGCCAGGGGAGCAAACGGGAUUAGAUACCCGAGUAGUCCCUGAGCGGGCUGGCAAGGCGCAU